UGGAAUUUGCCAAUCUGGUGCUCC
This 24-nucleotide non-coding RNA is filed under the name Arabidopsis thaliana (thale cress). The record is from RNAcentral. Lineage: Eukaryota; Viridiplantae; Streptophyta; Magnoliopsida; Brassicales; Brassicaceae.